Molecule: ribosomal RNA, 301 nt
Filed under: uncultured bacterium
Lineage: Bacteria
Description: partial 16S ribosomal RNA
Rfam family: Bacterial small subunit ribosomal RNA
Source: RNAcentral
CAGUAGCCGCGGUAACACGUAGGGUGCAAGCGUUAAUCGGAAUUACUGGGCGUAAAGCGUGCGCAGGCGGUGUUGUAAGACUGAUGUGAAAUCCCCGGGCUCAACCUGGGAACUGCAUUGGUGACUGCAACGCUGGAGUGCGGCAGAGGGGGAUGGAAUUCCGCGUGUAGCAGUGAAAUGCGUAGAUAUGCGGAGGAACACCGAUGGCGAAGGCAAUCCCCUGGGCCUGUACUGACGCUCAUGCACGAAAGCGUGGGGAGCAAACAGGAUUAGAUACCCCCGUAGUCCCUGUCUCUUAUAC